Gavialis gangeticus (Gharial) is the source of this 1791-nucleotide long non-coding RNA. RefSeq lists it as uncharacterized. The transcript has 2 exons. The record is from RefSeq and is a predicted model, not a curated record. Lineage: Eukaryota; Metazoa; Chordata; Crocodylia; Gavialidae.
GCUGGUCACUUCCAGUCUGCACAACGCUGGUCUGCAGUUUGCCUGUCCGCAGCCUAAAAAGUUUGGGAAUCACUGGCGUACACUACCAGUCUUUGCUUGAAAUACCAGCCCUUGGGUACAAGCCAACAACCCAGUGCGGGACUUGAGCCCAUGGCCGAAUAAAACAGGCUUCCUAGGCUAGCUCUCUGCAGGUAUCAUGUCAAGGAGGAAAUUGGUAAAGGCUCUCUACUCGUUUUAGUUGAGAGGUACAGUAUUGAAUGUAUUAUAAAUGCAUUGCUGUAAAUCUGAGAAGCCAGAGUGCAGCCACACCUAUCCCUGUUAUUAGCAAGGCAGUAAAGUUCUCCAUAGUACAGAAGAGAAACUAGUAUUUUAAUAUGUAUACCGGAGAGUUUAAGAAAAGCACCUGGUAAGCUUCCUACUUAAUGACAAUUAAAUAUGGAUUUUAGUUCCUGCCCCCUCAAUUCCUAUGCUCUUCCAGAGCAUGAUACACCCAAUCUGCUCUACCUCAUCAGCCCAGGGCUGCUGGAGGGGUUGCAGGGGGAGGGGGCUUCUACUCUUUUCUCUAUCUGACAGACUGAAGGUUUUCCAGCAGUUUGAAACAGCCAAGGACAAAACAAUCUUGUGGGUGUUAGUGUCUGGAAGCAACCAAAAGGCCAUUGUGAGUCACCGAAGAAAGGGAAUUGCUAAUGAAGCAAGACCACACCUCUGCACAAAGGACUCUCAGACCCUGCUUGGAGCCUGGCACGUAGCCCUGGACACGGACAGCAAAGCCUUUUUUGCUGAGCCAUCAACCAGACUUGCUUCUGCCAUAAAUCCCAGGUCCUUGUGUGAAGCCUGAAUCAGCUGACCUGGCACAUCCUCCUCACUGAACCCAGCCAUCUGCUCAAUGCUGUAUUGCCCUGCUGCAGCACCAGUUCCAGCUGGAAGUGGUCUGGAGUUUUAAAAAUAAACUAAUGUUUUCAAAGAUGUAAUUCGAAAAGGGUGCGAGUCCCUCGUCAGCCCAGAACAAAGAAGCGUUGUGGAGAAAUGCCUUUUGUUGCCAUUGUUCCUCUUACAGACUUUGGUUAGUUGUAACAACUGUGCACUGUUUGUCAUGCAAAAUAAAACUGCUGGAAGACACAGCAACACUGGAUUCCCCUGUUAGCAGCUUAGGAGCAGGGAUUGGUAUUCCCCACCCCCCCAUAAAACUUGGACAUCUUUUUGGCAGCAAGAUUUCUGUGCCCCCCCCGCCUUUCCUCCAUAACGAUGGAGUCUGAGGACAUUUAUUUGCAUUUCCUAUUAGAGCUCGGAAGACAGCAGAGAUCGACUGAAGGCUUGAUCAGUCUGGGAAAGACAGGGCUCUGGAAGGAAACUUUGUAUGGAGAGUCACACACAAAAUAUACAUCUCAGGCAGGAGGAGGAGAAACAGUACAAUGUUCACGACUGGGGAGGCUGGAGGAUAGCACAACAAUAUUAUUAAAGCAGGUUGAAAUUCCCCGUCCCCCUAAGGACCCAGCGCCCAACACAGAGACCAUUCCCAAUCAUGAAUUUUUCUCACACAGAGACAAAGCCUUUUAAAACCCAAGUUGCAAGGGGCUGGAAGACCUGAGCAAUGCAUUUAGAAUACCACACAGCACAGAAGUGGGAAGCAGGAAGAAACCUAGGUGUUUUUAACUGGUUUCUCACUCUCGACUGCCUUAGUUCUCAUGGGGAAUGUGCUCUUUCAGCUUGUAUAAGUAUGACCCUCCCAAGACACCAGAACAAGGUACUGGCAGGCAAGAAAAGCAUAAAAUUAAACAUAUGCAAAACCUU